This 239-nucleotide long non-coding RNA is filed under the name Elaeis guineensis (African oil palm). Its description in RNAcentral is "long non-coding RNA (EGUI_LNC080575)". Lineage: Eukaryota; Viridiplantae; Streptophyta; Magnoliopsida; Arecales; Arecaceae. The record is from RNAcentral.
UGGCUCGACCAACUUGACCAUCAUCAGAAAGACACAACUAAAACAACAUAUUAUGAAUGAUAAUUUCGACAGCUAGAUGAGCACCAGACGUAUGGCACCUUCAAUGAUCAUCUAAACUAUUGGACUCAUUAUCACUCAACUUAAUGGAAGACUAUGAUCUAGUUAUCGCUAUAACUAUUUCAUUUUAGGGACCUAACAAUUUUAGAAGAUUUAAUUAGUUGAAUUGAGAGAUGAGAUGA